This 255-nucleotide ribosomal RNA is filed under the name uncultured bacterium. RNAcentral describes it as "partial 16S ribosomal RNA". It matches the Rfam family "Bacterial small subunit ribosomal RNA", at positions 524 to 777 of the family's 1533-position model. The record is from RNAcentral.
UACGAAGGGGGCUAGCGUUGCUCGGAAUUACUGGGCGUAAAGCGCACGUAGGCGGUCUUUUAAGUCGGGGGUGAAAUCCUGGAGCUCAACUCCAGAACUGCCUUCGAUACUGGAAGACUUGAGUCCGGGAGAGGUGAGUGGAACUGCGAGUGUAGAGGUGAAAUUCGUAGAUAUUCGCAAGAACACCAGUGGCGAAGGCGGCUCACUGGCCCGGUACUGACGCUGAGGUGCGGAAAGCGUGGGGAGCAAACAGGG